GAUGAACGCUGGCGGCGUGCCUAAUACAUGCAAGUCGAGCGAACGGACGAGAAGCUUGCUUUUCUGAUGUUAGCGGCGGACGGGUGAGUAACACGUGGAUAACCUACCUAUAAGACUGGGAUAACUUCGGGAAACCGGAGCUAAUACCGGAUAAUAUUUUGCACCGCAGGGUUCAAAAGUGAAAGACGGUCUUGCGGUCACGAAUAGAUGGAUCCGCGCUGCAUGAGCUAGUUGGUAAGGUAACGGCUUACCAAGGCAACGAUGCAUAGCCGACCUGAGAGAGUGGUCGGCCACACUGGAGCUGAGACACGGUCCAGACUACUACGGGAGGCAGCAGUAGGGAAUCGUACGCAAUGGGCGAAAGCCUGACGGAGCAACGCCGCGUGAGUGAUGACGGUCUUCGGAUCGUAAAACUCUGUUAUUAGGGAAGAACAUAUGUGUAAGUAACUGUGCACAUCUUGACGGUACCUAAUCAGAAAGCCACGGCUAACUACGUG
This 497-nucleotide ribosomal RNA is filed under the name uncultured bacterium. RNAcentral describes it as "partial 16S ribosomal RNA". It matches the Rfam family "Bacterial small subunit ribosomal RNA", at positions 28 to 507 of the family's 1533-position model. The record is from RNAcentral.